This 75-nucleotide transfer RNA is filed under the name Chlamydiae bacterium RIFCSPHIGHO2_01_FULL_44_39. Its description in RNAcentral is "tRNA-Pro". It matches the Rfam family "tRNA". Rfam says of the family: Transfer RNA (tRNA) molecules are approximately 80 nucleotides in length. The record is from RNAcentral. Lineage: Bacteria; Pseudomonadati; Chlamydiota. RNAcentral also lists the same sequence under 5 other names.
CUGGGUGUAGCGCAGUUUGGCUAGCGCGUUUGCAUGGGGUGCAAGAGGCCGCAGGUUCAAAUCCUGUCACCCAGA